GACGAACGCUGGCGGCGUGCCUAAUACAUGCAAGUGGGACGCAAGGGCACACACUGUGCUUGCACACCGUGUGUUCUUGAGGCGCGAACGGGUGGUUGACGCGUAGGUAACCUGCCUGGUAGCGGGGGGUAACUGUUGGAAACGAUAGCUAAUACCGCAUAAUAUUAAUUAUUGCAUGAUAAUUGAUUGAAAGCUGCAAUCGAAUCACUAGUAGCUGGACAUUCGUUGUAUUAGCUAGUUGGUAAGGUAAGAGCUUACCAAGGCGACGAUACAUAGCCGACCUGAGAGGGUGAUCGGCCACACUGGGACUGAGACACGGCCCAGACUCCUACGGGAGGCAGCAGUAGGGAAUCUUCGGCAAUGGAGGAAAGUCUGACCGAGCAACGCCGCGUGAGUGAAGAAGGGUUUCGGAUCGUAAAGCUCUGUUGUAAGUCAAGAACGUGUGUGAGAGUGGAAAGUUCACACAGUGACGGUAGCUUACCAGAAAGGGACGGCUAACUACGUG
Molecule: ribosomal RNA, 505 nt
Filed under: uncultured bacterium
Lineage: Bacteria
Description: partial 16S ribosomal RNA
Rfam family: Bacterial small subunit ribosomal RNA
Source: RNAcentral